GAUGAACGCUGGCGGCAUGCUUAAUACAUGCAAGUCGAACGGGGUGGCUUGCCACUCCGUGGCGAACGGGUGAGUAACACGUAGACAAUCUGCCUUCAAGUGGGGGAUAACCAGAAGAAAUUUUGGAUAAUACCGCAUAGAUAUCAACUUCGGCAUCGAGGAUGGUAGAAAGGUCUCCUCAGGACCGCUUGAAGAUGAGUCUGCGGCGCAUUAGCUAGUUGGUGAGGUAACGGCCCACCAAGGCAACGAUGCGUAGUCGACCUGAGAGGGUGAACGGCCACAUUGGGACUGAGACACGGCCCAG
This 304-nucleotide ribosomal RNA is filed under the name uncultured bacterium. RNAcentral's name for it is "bacterial SSU rRNA". It matches the Rfam family "Bacterial small subunit ribosomal RNA", at positions 28 to 334 of the family's 1533-position model. The record is from RNAcentral.